RNAcentral lists this ribosomal RNA (480 nucleotides) under uncultured bacterium. RNAcentral's name for it is "bacterial SSU rRNA". It matches the Rfam family "Bacterial small subunit ribosomal RNA", at positions 8 to 518 of the family's 1533-position model. The record is from RNAcentral.
AGGGUUCGAUUCUGGCUCAGAACGAACGCUGGCGGCAGGUCUUAGGCAUGCAAGUCGAACGGAUGACAAGGAAGCUUGCUUCUUGAAGUCAGUGGCGCACGAGUGAGUAACGCGUGGGAAACUGCCCUUCACUGGGGAAUAACGUUUGGAAACGAACGCUAAUACCGCAUACGCCCGCAAGGGGAAAGAUUUAUCGGUGAUGGAUGUGCCCGCGUUGGAUUAGCCAGUUGGUGGGGUAAUGGCCUACCAAAGCAAUGAUCCAUAGCUGGUCUGAGAGGACGAUCAGCCACGCUGGAACUGAGACACGGUCCAGACUCCUACGGGAGGCAGCAGCUAAGAAUAUUGGGCAAUGGGGGAAACCCUGACCCAGCCAAUGCCGCGUGAAUGAAGAAGGCCUUCGGGUUGUAAAGUUCUUUUAGUCAUGAAGAUGAUGACAGUAGUGACAGAAAAAGCACCGGCUAACUUCGUGCCAGCAGCUGC